GUGCUUGAUUCGGCAGCACAUAUACUAAAACUGGAAUGAUACAGAGAAGAUUAGCAUGGCCUCUGUGCAAAGAUGACACACAAAUUUGUGUCAUUUUUUUUUU
Molecule: small nuclear RNA, 103 nt
Filed under: Salvator merianae (Argentine black and white tegu)
Lineage: Eukaryota; Metazoa; Chordata; Lepidosauria; Squamata; Teiidae
Source: RNAcentral